GUGCCUACGGGGCGCAGCAGUAGGGAAUAUUGCUCAAUGGGGGAAACCCUGAAGCAGCAACGCCGCGUGGAGGAUGAAGGUUUUCGGAUUGUAAACUCCUUUUGUUAGAGAAGAUAAUGACGGUAUCUAACGAAUAAGCACCGGCUAACUCCGUGACAGCAGCCGCGGUAAUACGGAGGGUGCAAGCGUUACUCGGAAUCACUGGGCGUAAAGAGCGCGUAGGCGGGAUAGAAAGUCAGAUGGGAAAUCCUAUGGCUCAACCAUAGAACUGCGUUUGAAAAUGUUAUUCUAGAGUAUGGGAGAGG
Molecule: ribosomal RNA, 305 nt
Filed under: uncultured bacterium
Lineage: Bacteria
Description: bacterial SSU rRNA
Rfam family: Bacterial small subunit ribosomal RNA
Source: RNAcentral